Molecule: transfer RNA, 73 nt
Filed under: Candidatus Woesearchaeota archaeon
Lineage: Archaea; Nanobdellati; Candidatus Woesearchaeota
Description: tRNA-Ala
Rfam family: tRNA
About the family: Transfer RNA (tRNA) molecules are approximately 80 nucleotides in length. Their secondary structure includes four short double-helical elements and three loops (D, anti-codon, and T loops).
Source: RNAcentral
GGGGCUGUAGCUCAGUUGGGAGAGCGACGCACUUGCACUGCGUAGGUCGCAGGUUCGAUUCCUGUCAGCUCCA